GAUAAACGCUGGCGGCGUGCCUAAUACAUGCAAGUCGAGCGAACGGACGAGAAGCUUGCUUCUCUGAUGUUAGCGGCGGACGGGUGAGUAACACGUGGAUCACCUACCUAUAAGACUGGGAUAACUUCGGGAAACCGGAGCUAAUACCGGAUAAUAUUUUGAACCGCAUGGUUCAAAAGUGAAAGACGGUCUUGCUGUCACUUAUAGAUGGAUCCGCGCUGCAUUAGCUAGUUGGUAAGGUAACGGCUUACCAAGGCAACGAUGCAUAGCCGACCUGAGAGGGUGAUCGGCCACACUGGAACUGAGACACGGUCCAGACUCCUACGGGAGGCAGCAGUAGGGAAUCUUCCGCAAUGGGCGAAAGCCUGACGGAGCAACGCCGCGUGAGUGAUGAAGGUCUUCGGAUCGUAAAACUCUGUUAUUAGGGAAGAACAUAUGUGUAAGUAACUGUGCACAUCUUGACGGUACCUAAUCAGAAAGCCACGGCUAACUACGUGCCAGCAGCCGCGGUAAUACGUAGGUGGCAAGCGUUAUCCGGAAUUAUUGGGCGUAAAGCGCGCGUAGGCGGUUUUUUAGUCUGAUGUGAAAGCCCACGGCUCAUUCGUGGAGGGUCAUUGGAAACUGGAAAACUUGAGUGCAGAAGAGGAAAGUGGAAUUCCAUGUGUAGCGGUGAAAUGCGCAGAGAUAUGGAGGAACACCAGUGGCGAAGGCGACUUUCUGGUCUGUAACUGACGCUGAUGUGCGAAAGCGUGGGGAUCAAACAGGAUUAGAUACCCUGGUAGUCCACGCCGUAAACGAUGAGUGCUAAGUGUUAGGGGGUUUCCGCCCCUUAGUGCUGCAGCUAACGCAUUAAGCACUCCGCCUGGGGAGUACGACCGCAAGGUUGAAACUCAAAGGAAUUGACGGGGACCCGCACAAGCGGUGGAGCAUGUGGUUUAAUUCGAAGCAACGCGAAGAACCUUACCAAAUCUUGACAUCCUUUGACAACUCUAGAGAUAGAGCCUUCCCCUUCGGGGGACAAAGUGACAGGUGGUGCAUGGUUGUCGUCAGCUCGUGUCGUGAGAUGUUGGGUUAAGUCCCGCAACGAGCGCAACCCUUAAGCUUAGUUGCCAUCAUUAAGUUGGGCACUCUAAGUUGACUGCCGGUGACAAACCGGAGGAAGGUGGGGAUGACGUCAAAUCAUCAUGCCCCUUAUGAUUUGGGCUACACACGUGCUACAAUGGACAAUACAAAGGGCAGCGAAACCGCGAGGUCAAGCAAAUCCCAUAAAGUUGUUCUCAGUUCGGAUUGUAGUCUGCAACUCGACUACAUGAAGCUGGAAUCGCUAGUAAUCGUAGAUCAGCAUGCUACGGUGAAUACGUUCCCGGGUCU
RNAcentral lists this ribosomal RNA (1371 nucleotides) under uncultured bacterium. RNAcentral's name for it is "bacterial SSU rRNA". It matches the Rfam family "Bacterial small subunit ribosomal RNA", at positions 28 to 1381 of the family's 1533-position model. The record is from RNAcentral.